Molecule: RNA transcript, 1253 nt
Organism: Fragaria vesca subsp. vesca
Lineage: Eukaryota; Viridiplantae; Streptophyta; Magnoliopsida; Rosales; Rosaceae
Exons: 2
Source: RefSeq, a predicted model, not a curated record
ACACAACAAACAAAUCAACAACUCAACUCUACAAAAUACAAUACAAUUCUCGACCUAGUCGAACCUCAGACGCUCCCCGGAGCUUUCCUUUCGUUUCCCCGUACGCUCUCCGGAGCUUUCUCUUUCUUUUUUCCUCUCCUUCCCAAUUGAAGCUCUGCUCGAUCCUACGUCGAGUAUCGAUAUUGUGACGCUCAGGCGGACUACUGUAAGCCCUUGCCCAGUACGCAAGGUGAAUCUGAAGAACCCUGCGGUGGAGUUGGUGCUCUCUCCAUCCUCAGUCGCUUGAUUAGAAGCAAAAGGCUAAGCGCACCCCGCUACUACAACCACUACAUUCCGCGUCCGCGCGGUGGCACGCCCGCAACAACUAAAAGAGACUUUGCUCGCCCAGACUUACCAGUGUGGCCAAAACAACAAUUACUGAAACCAGAGGACUUGGAUCGGAUUUGCUGUAUGAUCAGUGAUGCAGCCAAAUCAAUUCCGGCCAGACUAGCAGUGGCCUCUGCUUCAAUCACCGAACCGCUGCGACACGAGAAACUUGUUCCGAAUCUCGAAUUACUACACCGAUGCCAGUCCGAUUAGGUGGGUGCCAAGAUGCAUCCACAUUUACUUUGAAAGUCCCCACCGGCGGCGGAAACCAUUGCAUGGGACUAGCUAUGGCUCCAAUCGACCCCACCGGAGCAUUAGCCGCUAAGAAGUCUGCGACUAAUGUUGAGACUUGUCUGGAGGUGUGUCUCGGAGAGAGUGGCUGACCCUGGUACACAAAACGGCACCUUGCCUUCCAAAUGCUCCAACAUAAGAAACUCACCACUGUAAGUAUAUAUCUGGCCUCAUUAUUUGUUCUCUGUUGAGUACAUUCUUUGAUCCAUCUAUCGAAAGAGUAGUACUACUAUUAGGCUACAAAUUUGGUUCGUAUAGUCUGGGGUCGCUUUGUAUCUGGGCAGUAAUUAAAAAGUUAUCAAUCGAGUACUGUAGUUUAACAGUUGCAACGACUAAGCUCAAAUCAGGAUUUCACCGAAUGAAUCUAUGGAUUCCCCACAAAGAAUGCAUGGGAAGAAGUCGGAAGGACUAUUUCAGUUUUGCAUUGGUAUGCUGCAGUGCCUGCACUACAGAACUAGACAUGCCUAUCCAAGUAAAAUACGCCUUCUCAUACAGGCCAUUAGACGUAAAUUAAUAUGGCUGUAGUGAAGCCAUUAGUUAUCCAAAGAUGUCAAAAUUGAAAUGACAUGAUCAAACAUUCUGACAAGGAUAAAAAG